This 786-nucleotide ribosomal RNA is filed under the name Microhypsibius bertolanii. RNAcentral describes it as "SSU rRNA". It matches the Rfam family "Eukaryotic small subunit ribosomal RNA", at positions 102 to 890 of the family's 1831-position model. The record is from RNAcentral. Lineage: Eukaryota; Metazoa; Tardigrada; Eutardigrada; Parachela; Microhypsibiidae.
UAAAUCAGUUAUGGUUCACUAGAUCGUACAGAUUACAUGGAUAUCUGUGGUAAUUCUAGAGCUAAUACAUGCACACACUCCGUUCCCUCGUGGAGCGGAGGCAGUUAUUUGCCUAAAAACCAAUCCGGCCUUCGGGUCGGUCAAUUGGUGACUCUGAAUAACCGAAGCAGAGCGCAUGGUCUCGUACCGGCGCCAGAUCUUUCAAGUGUCUGACUUAUCAGCUUGUCGUUAGGUUAUGUGCCUAACGAGGCUCCAACGGGUACGGGUGUUUGGGGACAGACACCGGAGAGGGAGCCUGAGAAACGGCUACCACAUCCAAGGAAGGCAGCAGGCGCGCAAAUUACCCACUCCCGGCACGGGGAGGUAGUGACGAAAAAUAACGAUGCGAGAGCUUUUAGCUCCUCGUAAUCGGAAUGGGUACACUUUAAAUCCUAUAACGAGGAUCUAUUGGAGGGCAAGUCUGGUGCCAGCAGCCGCGGUAAUUCCAGCUCCAAUAGCAUAUAUUAAAGUUGCUGCGGUUAAAAAGCUCGUAGUUGGAUCUGGGUAGUCGAUGGACGGUGCGCCUCACGGCGUCUACUGUUCGUUCGGCACCACAUGCCGGCCAUGUCUUGCAUGCUCUUCACUGAGUGUGCUUGGCGACCGGAACGUUUACUUUGAAAAAAUUAGAGUGCUCAAAGCAGGCGUUAAGCCUUGCAUAAUGGUGCAUGGAAUAAUGGAAUAGGACCUCGGUUCUAUUUUGUUGGUUUUCGGAGCUCGAGGUAAUAUUAACAGGAACAGACGGGGACA